This 400-nucleotide ribosomal RNA is filed under the name uncultured bacterium. Its description in RNAcentral is "bacterial SSU rRNA". It matches the Rfam family "Bacterial small subunit ribosomal RNA", at positions 359 to 776 of the family's 1533-position model. The record is from RNAcentral.
GAAUAUUGGACAAUGGGCGAAAGCCUGAUCCAGCCACGCCGCGUGAGUGAUGAAGGCCCUAGGGUUGUAAAGCUCUUUCGCCAGGGAAGAUAAUGACGGUACCUGGUAAAGAAGCCCCGGCUAACUUCGUGCCAGCAGCCGCGGUAAUACGAAGGGGGCUAGCGUUGUUCGGAAUUACUGGGCGUAAAGCGCACGUAGGCGGGUCAUUAAGUCAGGGGUGAAAUCCCAAGGCUCAACCUUGGAACUGCCUCUGAUACUGAUGAUCUUGAGUCCGAGAGAGGUGAGUGGAACUCCGAGUGUAGAGGUGAAAUUCGCAGAUAUUCGGAAGAACACCAGUGGCGAAGGCGGCUCACUGGCUCGGUACUGACGCUGAGGUGCGAAAGCGUGGGGAGCAAACAGG